CCGACACAGGUAGUCAAGAUGAGAAUUCUAAGGUGAGCGAGCGAACUCUCGUUAAGGAACUCGGCAAAAUGACCCCGUAACUUCGGGAGAAGGGGUGCUCUUUGAGGUUCACGCUUCGAAGAGCCGCAGUGAAUAGGCCCAAGCGACUGUUUAUCAAAAACACAGGUCUCUGCUAAACCGUAAGGUGACGUAUAGGGGCUGACGCCUGCCCGGUGCUGGAAGGUUAAGAGGAGUGGUUAGCGCAAGCGAAGCUACGAAUCGAAGCCCCAGUAAACGGCGGCCGUAACUAUAACGGUCCUAAGGUAGCGAAAUUCCUUGUCGGGUAAGUUCCGACCCGCACGAAAGGCGUAACGAUUUGGGCACUGUCUCAACGAGAGACUCGGUGAAAUCAUAGUACCGGUGAAGAUGCCGGUUACCCGCGACAGGACGGAAAGACCCCGUGGAGCUUUACUGUAGCCUGAUAUUGAAAUUCGGUACAGUUUGUACAGGAUAGGUAGGAGCCUUAGAAGCGUGAGCGCUAGCUUACGUGGAGGCAUUGGUGGGAUACUACCCUAAUUGUAUUGGAUUUCUAACCCGCAGCACUUAUCGUGCUGGGAGACAGUGUCAGGCGGGCAGUUUGACUGGGGCGGUCGCCUCCUAAAGAGUAACGGAGGCGCUCAAAGGUUCCCUCAGAAUGGUUGGAAAUCAUUCAUAGAGUGUAAAGGCAUAAGGGAGCUUGACUGCGAGACCUACAAGUCGAGCAGGGUCGAAAGACGGACUUAGUGAUCCGGUGGUUCCGCAUGGAAGGGCCAUCGCUCAACGGAUAAAAGCUACCCCGGGGAUAACAGGCUUAUCUCCCCCAAGAGUUCACAUCGACGGGGAGGUUUGGCACCUCGAUGUCGGCUCAUCGCAUCCUGGGGCUGUAGUCGGUCCCAAGGGUUGGGCUGUUCGCCCAUUAAAGCGGUACGCGAGCUGGGUUCAGAACGUCGUGAGACAGUUCGGUCCCUAUCCGUCGUGGGCGUAGGAAAUUUGAGAGGAGCUGUCCUUAGUACGAGAGGACCGGGAUGGACAUACCUCUGGUGUACCAGUUGUCGUGCCAACGGCAUAGCUGGGUAGCUAUGUAUGGACGGGAUAAGUGCUGAAAGCAUCUAAGCAUGAAGCCCCCCUCGAGAUGAGAUUUCCCAACUUCGGUUAUAAG
RNAcentral lists this ribosomal RNA (1177 nucleotides) under Staphylococcus pseudintermedius. RNAcentral's name for it is "partial 23S ribosomal RNA". It matches the Rfam family "Bacterial large subunit ribosomal RNA", at positions 1654 to 2832 of the family's 2925-position model. The record is from RNAcentral. Lineage: Bacteria; Bacillati; Bacillota; Bacilli; Caryophanales; Staphylococcaceae.